Molecule: long non-coding RNA, 634 nt
Organism: Drosophila serrata
Lineage: Eukaryota; Metazoa; Arthropoda; Insecta; Diptera; Drosophilidae
Source: RefSeq, a predicted model, not a curated record
CUCCAGCUGAACCCUCCACGAGGGCGCCGACUGGACAAUGGACACUGUAUUAUCCCGGGCAAUGGGUAAUGCUCUUGCUCCAGGAUAAUGCAGUGUCUAGCUAAGGCUUCGAUUCCAUUUCUUUAGCCCAAAACGCUGGAGAAAAUGAAUCAUUAGCCAUGGUUGGAGGUGCCUGGCGGUAGGCAUAAAACGCAAGUGGGUGGUUCCCCUGAAAUAAACCAGUUUUCUAGGGUAUGUGGGAUCCUCCAGCUCAACAAGGAGGUGGAGGAUAUCCGUUACAGGGGAUAUCCUUUAUACGGGAAGAUGGCGUGGGGCAUAAAUAGUUUCCACCUGCGUCUCAAGAAGCACCACCCCGGGGACAAGGACAUGCACAUCCUGCAGGGAGGUGAGGUGUAGAAGGACACCAUCGCUCCAAUGACCUGACUGCGGUGAUCCUGGAGAGCAAAAAGAGGCACCUUCUGGCAGGAGAAGGAAAUCAGGAACCCAAUAUAAACUACAAGAGGAAAACCCUUCGGCCACCCUAACCAAUUGAAGGCAAGGUCGCCUGGCAGGAGGUGGAUGCCUACUUAUAUCAUUGUACAGAUAUAUCUUUAUAUAUAAUAUAUAUGUAUAUAUAUAAUCCAGCAAUGACCUU